RNAcentral lists this ribosomal RNA (987 nucleotides) under Triticum aestivum (bread wheat). RNAcentral describes it as "partial small subunit ribosomal RNA". Lineage: Eukaryota; Viridiplantae; Streptophyta; Magnoliopsida; Poales; Poaceae. The record is from RNAcentral.
CCGAUCCUCAUGGCCGACUGCAAGCGCCGCUGCGUGGACGUCGCUGACCGGCUUGGUGACCUGCCGGACAGCCUCCUGCAAGUCAUAAUCUCCUUGCUCGGCUUCCGGCAGGCCGUGCAGACCGGCGUGCUGUCGCGGCGGUGGAGGAACCUGUGGCGCGGCGUGCCCGUCGUCGACAUCGACGAGCGAGAGUUCGCCGGCGACGGCCAGACCUGGGACCGUUUCGAGGACUUCGUCGACCACGCGUUGACGUCGAUCCCGCCAGGGACGCGGCUCGACGCCUUUCGCCUGCACGUGGUUAGCUGCGACACCGCCACGUCUAGCAGGUGGAUCCGACGUGGCCUCCGCCACCUCCCGGUCGCCGUCAGCAUCCACGGUACCAACGCCGGCCACAGCCUGGUCUCCUGGAAGCCACACGUAUCAUCCCCGCCCCCAAACCCCUUCAGCUACGCCGCCGCCGACGGACUCUGGCAGCAGCGGGGCAUGUCGGCGUGCGCCGCUGGUUUCACCAGCCGCUUGACGACCCUGCGGCUGGUCGGCGCCAGUAUCAGUUUCGGCUUCUUCCAGCACCUCGGCCGGUACUGCCCGACCCUCCAGGAGCUCCACGCCGAGAGGUGCAUGAUGCACCUUCUCUCCCUCGCCUCGCCCGUGCUCAGGCGCCUCACUGUCAUCGCCCCACUUUCAGCCCUCACUGCCGCCGUCGUUCCUGGGCUGGAGGCCCCCCGGCUCGCCUCCCUCCGCCUCGACAUCAUGUAUGGCGGGGAGAGCAGCUUCGAAUUCAUAGCCGGACUCGGGCUGGCCCCACGGUAUCACUUGCCGGCACUUACUGAGGCGUCACUCCGGCUCACGGACAUGGCCGCCGACGUCCACCUGCCCGCUCACCAAGCUUGGGAGAACCAGAAGCUCAAGUUUUUGGAAUCCAUGAGUGGCUUCCUAGCCCUCCUUAACAAUGUUGUAAGCCUACAUCUACACGGGUUCAUCACCAUG